AGUGGCGGACGGGUGAGUAACGCGUAAGAAUCUAACUUCAGGACGGGGACAACAGUUGGAAACGACUGCUAAUACCCGAUAUGCCGCGAGGUGAAACCUAAUUGGCCUGAAGAAGAGCUUGCGUCUGAUUAGCUAGUUGGUGGGGUAAGAGCCUACCAAGGCGACGAUCAGUAGCUGGUCUGAGAGGAUGAGCAGCCACACUGGGACUGAGACACGGCCCAGACUCCUACGGGAGGCAGCAGUGGGGAAUUUUCCGCAAUGGGCGAAAGCCUGACGGAGCAACGCCGCGUGAGGGAGGAAGGUCUUUGGAUUGUAAACCUCUUUUCUCAAGGAAGAAGUUCUGACGGUACUUGAGGAAUCAGCCUCGGCUAACUCCGUGCCAGCAGCCGCGGUAAUACGGGGGAGGCAAGCGUUAUCCGGAAUUAUUGGGCGUAAAGCGUCCGCAGGUGGUCAGCCAAGUCUGCCGUCAAAUCAGGUUGCUUAACGACCUAAAGGCGGUGGAAACUGGCAGACUAGAGAGCAGUAGGGGUAGCAGGAAUUCCCAGUGUAGCGGUGAAAUGCGUAGAGAUUGUGAAGAACAUCGGUGGCGAAAGCGUGCUACUGGGCUGUAUCUGACACUCAGGGACGAAAGCUAGGGGAGCGAAAGGGAUUAGAUACCCCUGUAGUCCUAGCCGUAAACGAUGGAUACUAGGCGUGGCUU
Molecule: ribosomal RNA, 700 nt
Filed under: uncultured bacterium
Lineage: Bacteria
Description: bacterial SSU rRNA
Rfam family: Bacterial small subunit ribosomal RNA
Source: RNAcentral